UAUAGAUAUCUGAGCGUACUUUUAAAUAAGUCAAAACUUUCAACAACGGAUCUCUUGGUUCUGGCAUCGAUGAAGAACGCAGCGAAAUGCGAUAAGUAAUGUGAAUUGCAGAAUUCAGUGAAUCAUCGAAUCUUUGAACGCACAUUGCGCCCAUUAGUACUCUAGUGGGCAUGCCUGUUCGAGCGUCAUUACGACCCUUAAGCCUAGCUUAGUAUUGGGAACCUACGUGCGGCAGCUACCCUGUAGCUACCCUGUAGCUCCUUAAAGACAACGGCGGAGACGUGGAGUCCUCUGAGCUUAGUAACUUUUCUAGCUUCUGAAGGCGCCGCGGCCCCUGCCGUAAAACCCCCAACUCUUUAGUGGUUGACCUCGGAUCAGGUAGGAAUACCCGCUGAACUUAAGCAUAUCAAUAAGCGGAGGAAAAGAAACCAACAGGGAUUGCCUUAGUAACGGCGAGUGAAGCGGCAACAGCUCAAAUUUGAAAGCUGGCCUUCGGGUCCGCGUUGUAAUUUGUAGAGGAUGCUUUUGGUUAGGUGCCUUACGAGUUCCCUGGAACGGGACGCCUUAGAGGGUGAGAGCCCCGUACGUUUGGUUACCGAGCCUCUGUAAAGCUCCUUCGACGAGUCGAGUAGUUUGGGAAUGCUGCUCUAAAUGGGAGGUAAAUUUCUUCUAAAGCUAAAUACCGGCCAGAGACCGAUAGCGCACAAGUAGAGUGAUCGAAAGAUGAAAAGCACUUUGAAAAGAGGGUUAAAUAGCACGUGAAAUUGUUGAAAGGGAAGCGUUUAUGACCAGACUUUUUCCUGGCGGAUCAUCCGGUGUUCUCACCGGUGCACUUCGCCAGG
Molecule: ribosomal RNA, 842 nt
Filed under: Sordariomycetes sp.
Lineage: Eukaryota; Fungi; Ascomycota; Sordariomycetes
Description: eukaryotic LSU rRNA
Rfam family: Eukaryotic large subunit ribosomal RNA (bases 365-842)
Source: RNAcentral